RNAcentral lists this transfer RNA (68 nucleotides) under Exorista civilis. RNAcentral's name for it is "tRNA-Asp". RNAcentral also lists the same sequence under 1 other name. Lineage: Eukaryota; Metazoa; Arthropoda; Insecta; Diptera; Tachinidae. The record is from RNAcentral.
AAAAAAUUAGUUAAAUAUAAAUAACAUUAGUUUGUCAAACUAAAAUUAUCUAAAUAAGAUAUUUUUUA